Molecule: long non-coding RNA, 539 nt
Filed under: Ursus maritimus (polar bear)
Lineage: Eukaryota; Metazoa; Chordata; Mammalia; Carnivora; Ursidae
Description: lncRNA (ENSUMAG00000018110.1)
Source: RNAcentral
GUUGAAGCAACAACAGAAAGAACAGCUCUGUGCCUGUGUCUACAAAACCGUACAAGACAAAGAUUUUAAUGAAUGAACCACUACCAAGAGAUGCUCACAAGCUACGUCUGGACAGUGUGGCUCGGGCGACCCAGAGGAAGCAUCGGUACUAUUCCAUCAGUGAGGACCCCUCUGCGCUCUCUUCUCUUCUCCUCCGGAUGUAUCUCCCGUGUUCCACUCGCGUCCUCGGCUAGAUGUUCUUUAAUAUCUAGAAAGAAUUCUAGAUAACAGAUGAGGUCAGACUGGUGAAGAAUUCAAGAAAAGGAAACAAGUGAUUUGUCACCUGCACCUCUGCGUCAUUCAUGCCAACCACAGCCAACCACCCCCCCUUUCUCCUCCUAUCAUACUACACAUGCCACAGUGUACAAAUGUGGAGAGUCCUCCUAAAUCUCCCCAAAAGUCUUCACUCUCAGUGUUGAAGCAGAGGAUCCUGUAAUUGCCUUCAAGUGAGUUGGCAGGGGAGUGACAUGAAAUCUUCGAGUGAAAUAUAGACCUUUUCU